CCUACGGGAGACUGCAGUGAGGAAUAUUGGUCAAUGGACGAGAGUCUGAACCAGCCAAGUAGCGUGAAGGAUGACUGCCCUAUGGGUUGUAAACUUCUUUUAUAAAGGAAUAAAACGAGGCACGUGUGCCUUUUUGCAUGUACUUUAUGAAUAAGGAUCGGCUAACUCCGUGCCAGCAGCCGCGGUAAUACGAAGGAUCCGAGCUUUUACCGGAUUUAUGGGGUUUAAAGGGAGCGUAGAUGGGUUGUUAAGUCAGUUGUGAAAGUUUGCGGCUCAACCGUAAAAUUGCAAUUGAUACUGGCAGUCUUGAGUACAGUUGAGGUAGGCGGAAUUCGUGGUGUAGCGGUGAAAUGCUUAGAUAUCACGAAGAACCCCGAUUGCGAAGGCAGCUUACUAAACUGUGACUGACAUUGAUGCUCGAAAGUGUGGGUAUCAAACAGGAUUAGAUACCCCAGUAGUC
This 460-nucleotide ribosomal RNA is filed under the name uncultured bacterium. RNAcentral describes it as "partial 16S ribosomal RNA". It matches the Rfam family "Bacterial small subunit ribosomal RNA", at positions 338 to 795 of the family's 1533-position model. The record is from RNAcentral.